This 354-nucleotide ribosomal RNA is filed under the name uncultured bacterium. RNAcentral describes it as "bacterial SSU rRNA". It matches the Rfam family "Bacterial small subunit ribosomal RNA", at positions 917 to 1267 of the family's 1533-position model. The record is from RNAcentral.
GGGCCCGCACAAGCGGUGGAGUAUGUGGUUUAAUUCGAAGCAACGCGCAGAACCUUACCAGCCCUUGACAUCCCGAUCGCGGUUUGUGGAGACACAUUCCUUCAGUUAGGCUGGAUCGGUGACAGGUGCUGCAUGGCUGUCGUCAGCUCGUGUCGUGAGAUGUUGGGUUAAGUCCCGCAACGAGCGCAACCCUCGCCCUUAGUUGCCAUCAUUCAGUUGGGCACUCUAAGGGGACUGCCGGUGAUAAGCCGAGAGGAAGGUGGGGAUGACGUCAAGUCCUCAUGGCCCUUACGGGCUGGGCUACACACGUGCUACAAUGGCAAGUACAACGAGUCGCAAUACCGCGAGGUGGAG